Molecule: unclassified non-coding RNA, 398 nt
Filed under: Hevea brasiliensis (rubber tree)
Lineage: Eukaryota; Viridiplantae; Streptophyta; Magnoliopsida; Malpighiales; Euphorbiaceae
Source: RNAcentral
AAAAAAAUUAAUUAUUUUAUUUUCACAUGCACAAGUGCCAAUUGCCUUCAUAGAAUUAUAUCUAUUUAUAUAGAUAUAUAUAAUUCUAUAUAUUUCACUUUCCCUCUACUUCUCUCUAAUUUAUAUUUUAUUUAAAUUAUCCUUUCGCACAUUGUAAACACUAAAAUCUUCUUGUAUUUUAGCAAUGUGGGAAUUCUCUCUUUACUUUCUAACAUACACGCUAUUUAUGACAAUUCUCAACUUAGCUUGUAUGUUAGAUCUCAUUGUUUCUGAGAAUUUAGAGAAAUAGAGAAGAAAGAAAGGAGAUUUUGAGGAAAAAUCAACUUAAUUAAUCCUUUUAAGCUAUGGAUGUAUAUAUAUACAAUUAGAGUCCCUUAGGGAAGAAUUACACAAUUUCA